CGGCGUUGGGCCGGUAGCCCAGCUCCUCGAUCGCGGCGAGGAUCCGGCGCCGGGUCUCGUCCGGGAUCGCCGC
Molecule: transfer RNA, 73 nt
Filed under: Streptomyces sp. NE5-10
Lineage: Bacteria; Bacillati; Actinomycetota; Actinomycetes; Kitasatosporales; Streptomycetaceae
Description: tRNA-Ala
Source: RNAcentral